This 232-nucleotide ribosomal RNA is filed under the name Diversispora sp. RNAcentral's name for it is "partial small subunit ribosomal RNA". It matches the Rfam family "Eukaryotic small subunit ribosomal RNA", at positions 548 to 781 of the family's 1831-position model. The record is from RNAcentral. Lineage: Eukaryota; Fungi; Glomeromycota; Glomeromycetes; Diversisporales; Diversisporaceae.
UUGGAGGGCAAGUCUGGUGCCAGCAGCCGCGGUAAUUCCAGCUCCAAUAGCGUAUAUUAAAAGUUGUUGCAGUUAAAAAGCUCGUAGUUGAACUUCGGGGUCUACCCAUUGGUCAGGCUUAAAUUGUCUGUACUGGUGAGAUGGAUCUCUACCUUCUGAGGAACUUUCAUGCCAGUUUAUUGGUGUGAUUGGAAAUCAGGACUGUUACUUUGAAAAUUAGAGUGUUUAAAGC